UACGUAGGGUGCAAGCGUUAAUCGGAAUUACUGGGCGUAAAGCGUGCGCAGGCGGUUUUGUAAGUUUGUCGUGAAAGCCCCGGGCUCAACCUGGGAAUGGCGAUGAAGACUGCAAGGCUUGAAUCUGGCAGAGGGGGGUAGAAUUCCACGUGUAGCAGUGAAAUGCGUAGAGAUGUGGAGGAACACCGAUGGCGAAGGCAGCCCCCUGGGUCAAGAUUGACGCUCAUGUACGAAAGCGUGGGGAGCAAACAGG
Molecule: ribosomal RNA, 253 nt
Filed under: uncultured bacterium
Lineage: Bacteria
Description: partial 16S ribosomal RNA
Rfam family: Bacterial small subunit ribosomal RNA
Source: RNAcentral